AUCAACAGCAGCCGAAUCACAUUAGAUUGCCACAAGAUGAGUACGCGUUUGCCAAUAAUAUUAUGAGCAGGUCCAUAUUCCGAUGAUGAACUGAUUCAACAACAUCGAUCCAUCAUAGCAAGAUUCUUUCUUUACAAGUUAGAAUAAGAUGGGGCCCUGUUUGGGGCCCUGAACCUGGAGCAUCACAAGAACGAUGCUACCACCAUGUGCAACGACUACUUGACAUUACCAGGACCAAAACAUUAUAUAGGCCACAGCCAAAGCAGCAGCAGCAGCAGCUGCGAGAACUUGGACCCCCAAGCAGCCAGAGGCGAUGAGCCGCAUAGACAGUAGGCGAGCAAGGCAUGUCAAGCCCUUGUUCCUUUUAGUCCUCACAACCAUCUCAUUCUCCAAAAGCACCGACUUGAUCCAAAAACGAACCUGUAAUAAAACAGUAGCAUCACCCGCCAAAAAAAAAAGUAGCAUAGCAGAUCAAAUCUCAAUAAUCUGGAAAUACUCUAUCUAGAGAUGAACACAAGGAACAUUACUAUUUCAGAUAAGCACUUGCUGAAGCAAUUUGCAGGAGCACAAACGCUACCAGGCUGAUGGAUUUAAAGCUGUUUACAUGCCAACGUGGCACCAUAAACAAACUAGCUAGCUAGAUAAAUAAGCAGCAGCACAUACAAUUCAAACAGCCAACACCAGAAAUUUGUUGUGUUGAAUCGCAAAAGAUUAAUCACUUUUAUCUACUAGACCAACAAGUGCAACCAGUAAAUAGAAGCUCGACAUUAAAUAGAAAUCUGUUUAAGAAACAAGUCAAGCUCCAGCUUCAGACCACAUUGAAUACAAGCCAGGUUUAAGGUUGAGGUUGAUUAAGUCGACCAAACCAAGCCCACAAGUUAACUUGAAAGACACAUCUUACAAUCUGUUUCAGCCCUAAAAGCCGACGUUCAGCACAAAGCCCAGCCGAGACAAAAAACCAAAUGGGCAUACCAAAAACAAAGUGUGGAUAACAUCGACUAAGAAGUGACAGCUAGUAUAAACACCCAGUGAAUCAGAAAUCACCAUCAAGAACCAUAUCCUGGCCACAUGAUCAAGUCGUAGAAUCAGAUUUCAUAGACGAUGUAAAUCGCUUACCUACUUGUUCAUUUAAUUUGAAGGUCAAGUUUAGGGUUGGUUUCAGUGGUGAUACACAGUUCCCAAGUCAGGCAACAAGUAGGCAAUGGUUUAGAGCACUAAAAAAAAACAAGAUAUGCAUCUUUCGAUAAGCAUCAGCACAUGCAUCUCAUACAAGGCAACAGAGCAGAAUUCAUCUUAGGCAGCACUGUGUCGAAUCACAAAAGAGCUUACCCAAGUUUGAUCAUUCAAGUCCGAAUCAGCUAAUAUAGAAGUGCAACCAGCCACAACCUUACAGCAACACCAAAAUCUUUACUAAUAUAUUGGAGUUGGUGAUGGUGGUACGUCGUCGUUCAACACUUAUCAUCGGACGCAUUCAGACCGUUCGAUCUACAUCCAAUGUCACACAGGUCCCAUCACACAAAAAUGGUAAGGUCCAAAACUAACCACCGCACAAACACAAAAAUUGGGGAAUUGAUGCACAAUUAAUACGAUAAUUAAUUACCCUUUCCUACCCAACAUUACAGAAGGCAAUCAAAAAAUCCGGAUACAUUUCAAUUAAAUGCUCCCAAUUAGCAC
Molecule: long non-coding RNA, 1674 nt
Filed under: Triticum aestivum (bread wheat)
Lineage: Eukaryota; Viridiplantae; Streptophyta; Magnoliopsida; Poales; Poaceae
Description: long non-coding RNA (TAES_LNC002253)
Source: RNAcentral